GACGAACGCUGGCGGCGUGCUUAACACGUGCAAGUCGAACGGAAAGGCCUGCUUUCCCUUGUGGAUUGCGGGUACUCGAGUGGCGAACGGGUGAGUAACACGUGAGUGAUCUGCCCCCAACUUGGGUAUAAGCCUGGGAAACUGGGUCUAAUUCCCGAUAGGACUGCAGGGUGGUGCCUGUGGUGGAAAACGAUUUUCUAGUGGUUGGGGAUGAGCUCGCGGCCUAUCAGCUUGUUGGUGGGGUAAUGGCCUACCAAGGCGGCGACGGGUAGCCGGCCUGAGAGGGUGGACGGCCACAUUGGGACUGAGAUACGGCCCAGACUCCUACGGGAGGCAGCAGUGGGGAAUAUUGCACAAUGGGCGGAAGCCUGAUGCAGCGACGCCGCGUGGGGGAUGACGGCCUUCGGGUGGUAAACUCCUUUCGACCGCGAGGAAGCCACCUGGUUGGAAGGGUGGUGACGGUAGUGGUAGAAGAAGCACCGGCUAACUACGUG
RNAcentral lists this ribosomal RNA (494 nucleotides) under uncultured bacterium. RNAcentral's name for it is "partial 16S ribosomal RNA". It matches the Rfam family "Bacterial small subunit ribosomal RNA", at positions 28 to 507 of the family's 1533-position model. The record is from RNAcentral.